Molecule: long non-coding RNA, 475 nt
Filed under: Rattus norvegicus (Norway rat)
Lineage: Eukaryota; Metazoa; Chordata; Mammalia; Rodentia; Muridae
Description: long non-coding RNA NONRATT012729
Source: RNAcentral
UGCAAAUACAGAAAUGUUAAUCCUUGGUUUUUCUUUUGUAUCCGCCCCGUUUUGUCAAUCUCUCAUCAUAUAUGUUGGGCAAUAUGAAGAACCUGGAAGCAUUGAGUACGUGACUAACUCUAUGUGCCAUGUUAUCUCUGAGGUUACCAUCCCUUCAGCCUUCUCUACUACCAGCCCAACGGAGGAGCCAGAGCUAAUAGAUCAUAAGAGAAUGGAACAGCUUUGCUGAGCUAUUCUAACCUGAGAAGAAAGCUGAGCCUGCUGGUUCAGAGGAAGAACGCAGAUGCUCCCAGCAGCCAGAAGAGGGCAACCUUGACAUUGGAAUAUGGUAUCUGGUUGACUAACAUGAUUUUUGUGAAUUCAACCUGUGUCAUCUGUAAAAGUACCCAAUGUUCAUAAUGGCUAAGGCAUCUGUGUAUGUGGUAUUUUUUAUUUAAAAUUCAUUUUAUACAUUUGAAUUAAAACACAUUACAUC